GACGAACGCUGGCGGCGUGCUUAGCACAUGCAAGUCGAACGCCGAAGCACCAGCUUGCUGGUGGGGAUGAGUGGCGAACGGGUGAGUAAUACGUGAGUAACCUGCCCUUGACUCUGGAAUAAGCCCGGGAAACUGGGUCUAAUACUGGAUGCUACAUGUCACCGCAUGGUGGUGUGUGGAAAGGGUUUACUGGUAUUGGAUGGGCUCACGGCCUAUCAGCUUGUUGGUGAGGUAAUGGCUCACCAAGGCGACGACGGGUAGCCGGCCUGAGAGGGUGACCGGCCACACUGGGACUGAGACACGGCCCAGACUCCUACGGGAGGCAGCAGUGGGGAAUAUUGCACAAUGGGCGAAAGCCUGAUGCAGCGACGCCGCGUGAGGGAUGACGGCCUUCGGGUUGUAAACCUCUUUCAGCAGGGAAGAAGCCACAAGUGACGGUACCUGCAGAAGAAGCGCCGGCUAACUACGUGCCAGCCGCCGCAGUAA
This 486-nucleotide ribosomal RNA is filed under the name uncultured bacterium. RNAcentral's name for it is "partial 16S ribosomal RNA". It matches the Rfam family "Bacterial small subunit ribosomal RNA", at positions 28 to 523 of the family's 1533-position model. The record is from RNAcentral.